Molecule: ribosomal RNA, 1341 nt
Filed under: uncultured bacterium
Lineage: Bacteria
Description: 16S ribosomal RNA
Rfam family: Bacterial small subunit ribosomal RNA
Source: RNAcentral
GACGAACGCUGGCGGCGUGCUUAACACAUGCAAGUCGAACGGUAAGGCUCCAGCUUGCUGGGGUACACGAGUGGCGAACGGGUGAGUAACACGUGGGUGACCUGCCCUGCACUUCGGGAUAAGCCUGGGAAACUGGGUCUAAUACCGGAUAGGACCGCACCGUGAGGGUGUGGUGGAAAGUUUUUUCGGUGUGGGAUGGGCCCGCGGCCUAUCAGCUUGUUGGUGGGGUAAUGGCCUACCAAGGCGGCGACGGGUAGCCGGCCUGAGAGGGUGGACGGCCACAUUGGGACUGAGACACGGCCCAGACUCCUACGGGAGGCAGCAGUGGGGAAUAUUGCACAAUGGGCGGAAGCCUGAUGCAGCGACGCCGCGUGGGGGAUGACGGCCUUCGGGUUGUAAACUCCUUUCACCAUCGACGAAGGGUUUCUGACGGUAGAUGGAGAAGAAGCACCGGCUAACUACGUGCCAGCAGCCGCGGUAAUACGUAGGGUGCGAGCGUUGUCCGGAAUUACUGGGCGUAAAGAGCUCGUAAGUGGUUUGCCGCGUCGUCUGUGAAAUUCCGGGGCUUAACUCCGGGCGUGCAGGCGAUACGGGCAUAACUUGAGUACUGUAGAGGAGACUGGAAUUCCUGGUGUAGCGGUGAAAUGCGCAGAUAUCAGGAGGAACACCGGUGGCGAAGGCGGGUCUCUGGGCAGUAACUGACGCUGAGGAGCGAAAGCAUGGGGAGCGAACAGGAUUAGAUACCCUGGUAGUCCAUGCCGUAAACGGUGGGCGCUAGGUGUGGGUUUCCUUCCACGGGAUCCGUGCCGUAGCUAACGCAUUAAGCGCCCCGCCUGGGGAGUACGGCCGCAAGGCUAAAACCCAAAGGAAUUGACGGGGGCCCGCACAAGCGGCGGAGCAUGUGGAUUAAUUCGAUGCAACGCGAAGAACCUUACCUGGGCUUGACAUAUACAGGAUCGCGCCAGAGAUGGUGUUUCCCUUGUGGCUUGUAUACAGGUGGUGCAUGGUUGUCGUCAGCUCGUGUCGUGAGAUGUUGGGUUAAGUCCCGCAACGAGCGCAACCCUUGUCUUAUGUUGCCAGCACGUUGUGGUGGGGACUCGUAAGAAACUGCCGGGGUUAACUCGGAGGAAGGUGGGGAUGACGUCAAAUCAUCAUGCCCCUUAUGUCCAGGGCUUCACACAUGCUACAAUGGUCGGUACAGUGGGUUGCCAGUCCGUGAGGGCGAGCUAAUCCCGCAAAGCCGGUCUCAGUUCGGAUCGGGGUCUGCAACUCGACCCCGUGAAGUCGGAGUCGCUAGUAAUCGCAGAUCAGCAACGCUGCGGUGAAUACGUUCCCGGGCCU